RNAcentral lists this ribosomal RNA (386 nucleotides) under uncultured bacterium. RNAcentral describes it as "bacterial SSU rRNA". It matches the Rfam family "Bacterial small subunit ribosomal RNA", at positions 30 to 416 of the family's 1533-position model. The record is from RNAcentral.
AUUGAACGCUGGCGGCAUGCCUUACACAUGCAAGUCGAACGGCAGCACGGGAGCAAUCCUGGUGGCGAGUGGCGAAUGGGUGAGUAAUAUAUCGGAACGUGCCCAGUCGUGGGGGAUAACGUAGCGAAAGCUACGCUAAUACCGCAUACGAUCUAUGGAUGAAAGCGGGGGAUCGCAAGACCUCGCGCGAUUGGAGCGGCCGAUAUCAGAUUAGGUAGUUGGUGAGGUAAAGGCUCACCAAGCCGACGAUCUGUAGCUGGUCUGAGAGGACGACCAGCCACACUGGGACUGAGACACGGCCCAGACUCCUACGGGAGGCAGCAGUGGGGAAUUUUGGACAAUGGGCGCAAGCCUGAUCCAGCAAUGCCGCGUGCAGGAUGAAGGCC